AAAAAAAGGCGAACGUUUGGGCUUCGGCCUGAUUUAGUAGUCUUUUUUUCUUUUAAACCCAUUCCUUAAUACUGAAUAUACUGUGGGGACGAAAGUCUCUGCUUUUAACUAGAUAGCAACUUUCAGCAGUGGAUGUCUAGGCUCGCACAUCGAUGAAGAACGCUGCGAACUGCGAUACGUAAUGCGAAUUGCAGGAUUCAGUGAGUCAUCGAAAUUUUGAACGCAUAUUGCACUUCCGGGUUAGUCCUGGAAGUAUGCCUGUAUCAGUGUCCGUACAUUAAACUUGACUUUCUUCCUUCCGUGUAGUCGGUGGAGGAGAUGUCAGAUGUGAAGUGUCUUGCGAUUGGUCUUCGGACCGGCUGCGAGUCCUUUUAAAUGUACUAAACUGAACUUCUCUUUGCUCGAAAAGUGGUGGCGUUGCUGGUUGUGAAGGCUGCUAUUGUGGCAAAUUGGCGACUGGUUUGUCUGCUGCGGCAUUAAUGGAAGAGUGUUCGAUUCGUGGUAUGGUUGGCUUCGGCUGAACAAUGCACUUAUUGGACGUUUUUCCUGCUGUGGCGUGAUGGACUGGUGAACCAUAGCUCGGUGGCUUGGCUUUUGAAUUGGCUUUGCUGUUGCGAAGUAGGGUGGCAGCUUCGGUUGUCGAGGGUCGAUCCAUUUGGGAACUUAAUGUGUACUUCGGUAUGCAUCUCAAUGGACC
This is a ribosomal RNA of 697 nucleotides. The stretch from base 118 to 272 matches the Rfam family "5.8S ribosomal RNA".